GGAAGGACUGUGGCUCAGUGGUAGAGCAUCUGCUUUGCAUGCAGAAGGUCUCAGGUUCAUUCUCUGGCAUCUCCA
Molecule: non-coding RNA, 75 nt
Organism: Podarcis lilfordi (Lilford's wall lizard)
Lineage: Eukaryota; Metazoa; Chordata; Lepidosauria; Squamata; Lacertidae
Source: the annotation of a GenBank genome assembly